RNAcentral lists this ribosomal RNA (253 nucleotides) under uncultured prokaryote. RNAcentral's name for it is "partial 16S ribosomal RNA". It matches the Rfam family "Bacterial small subunit ribosomal RNA", at positions 525 to 777 of the family's 1533-position model. The record is from RNAcentral.
ACAGAGGCCUCAAGCGUUAGGCGGAAUCACUGGGCUUAAAGCGUGUGUAGGUGGAUGCCUAAGUACCUUGUGAAAUCCCACGGCUCAACCGUGGAACUGCUGGGUAUACUGGGUGUCUUGGGCCAUUCAGGGGCGACUGGAACAAGCGGUGGAGCGGUGAAAUGCGUAGAUAUCGCUUGGAACGCCGAAGGUGAAAACAGCUCGCUGGGGGUGUGCUGACGCUGAGACACGAAAGCCAGGGGAGCGAACGGGA